UACGUAGGGUGCGAGCGUUAAUCGGAAUUACUGGGCGUAAAGCGUGCGCAGGCGGUUUUGUAAGCCAGAUGUGAAAUCCCCGGGCUUAACCUGGGAAUGGCAUUUGGGACUGCAAGGCUGGAGUGCGGCAGAGGAGACUGGAAUUCCUGGUGUAGCAGUGAAAUGCGUAGAUAUCGGGAGGAACACCAGUGGCGAAGGCGGUUGCCUGGAGCUUUGCUGACGCUGAGGCGCGAAAGCGUGGGGAGCAAACAGG
Molecule: ribosomal RNA, 253 nt
Filed under: uncultured bacterium
Lineage: Bacteria
Description: partial 16S ribosomal RNA
Rfam family: Bacterial small subunit ribosomal RNA
Source: RNAcentral